Lepus europaeus (European hare) is the source of this 789-nucleotide long non-coding RNA. RefSeq lists it as uncharacterized. The transcript has 6 exons. The record is from RefSeq and is a predicted model, not a curated record. NCBI's taxonomy places the organism in Eukaryota, Metazoa, Chordata, Mammalia, Lagomorpha, Leporidae.
GGCCCUGGCGACCGAGGGUCCUCCGCUCCCCAAAAGGCCCUCCAGCUACCUUCAGCGCUUCCCUGCCGUCCUUCCCGCCACCCACUCCCUAGAAUCGUCUGACAGAGAAGCUAAGUUAGGAAUACUUAAGGCCUCCCAGACUGAAGUAUCCUGUCACCAAGUUCAGGCCUGGCAAGAGAUGACUAAACAGAAACCAAGUGUACCUAAAGAGAAUGCAAAUAAGAAGAACCCAGUGGAUAGUUCUUCCAUAACUCCUAGAAUCUCCAAAGCCCAAUUAUCAACAAAUAUUUAUUCAAAUUGAACAUAUUUACUAUUGGAUAAUCUUAUCAGCAACUUUUCUUCUUUUAUUUCCUAACAAGCUUCAGAUGCAUCAAGCCCUCUGUUACGUGAGAGCAUAGCAUUCCUCCCUUCCAGAGGAUGCAGCAUUGAAGGUGUCAUCUAGGAAUCAGAAUCCUCAAACCUGCUGGCACCUGCAUACUGGGCUUUCCAGCCGCCAGAGCUAAUACAUUUAUGUUCAUUUUCUACUACCCAGUCUGUGGUUACAGCAGCACACAACUGAUGAUAAGCAUUAUGGAGAAUCCGGGAUUGGUACAGAGAGAGAGAGAGAGAGAGAGAGGUCUUCCUUCUGUUGAUUCACCCCCCAAAUGGCCGCUACUGCCGGUGCUGCCCCGAUCCGUAGCCAGGAGCCAGAUGCUGCUUAAUGUUACAGGUAAUCGCAACCUGCAGCAGCUGGCAUUUGCUCAACCCCUAAAUUAAAUGAGAUGUUAAAUGAUGCUCCUGGAAGAAGUC